UACAGGGGGUGCAACCGUUGCUCGGAAUCAUUGGGCGUAAAGCGCACGUAGGCGGUUACUUAAGUCGGAUGUGAAAGCCCUUGGCUCAACUGAGGAAGUGCAUCCGAAACUGAGUAGCUAGAGUACGAAAGAGGGUCGCGGAAUUCCCGGUGUAGAGGUGAAAUUCGUAGAUAUCGGGAGGAACACCGGUGGCGAAGGCGGCGACCUGGGUCGAGACUGACGCUGAGGUGCGAAAGCGUGGGGAGCAAACAGG
Molecule: ribosomal RNA, 253 nt
Filed under: uncultured bacterium
Lineage: Bacteria
Description: partial 16S ribosomal RNA
Rfam family: Bacterial small subunit ribosomal RNA
Source: RNAcentral